Molecule: transfer RNA, 90 nt
Filed under: Pseudoeurycea tenchalli
Lineage: Eukaryota; Metazoa; Chordata; Amphibia; Caudata; Plethodontidae
Also listed under: 1 other name
Description: tRNA-Leu
Rfam family: tRNA (bases 15-90)
About the family: Transfer RNA (tRNA) molecules are approximately 80 nucleotides in length.
Source: RNAcentral
CUAACACACGACUUAUUGGGGUGGCAGAGCAUGGUAAAUUGCAAAAGGCCUAAAACCUUAUCCUCGAGAGUUCAAAUCCCUCCCUCAAUU